RNAcentral lists this ribosomal RNA (253 nucleotides) under uncultured bacterium. RNAcentral's name for it is "partial 16S ribosomal RNA". It matches the Rfam family "Bacterial small subunit ribosomal RNA", at positions 524 to 776 of the family's 1533-position model. The record is from RNAcentral.
GACGUAGGGUGCGAGCGUUGUCCGGAUUUAUUGGGCGUAAAGAGCUCGUAGGCGGCUCGUUGCGUCGGCUGUGAAAACCCGCGGCUUAACUGUGGGCUUGCAGCCGAUACGGGCGGGCUGGAGUUCGGUAGGGGAGACUGGAAUUCCUGGUGUAGCGGUGAAAUGCGCAGAUAUCAGGAGGAACACCCGUGGCGAAAGCGGCUCUCUGGGACGGUACUGACGCUGAGACGCGAAAGCGUGGGGAGCAAACAGG